UGCAUUCACUACUGUAGUCGCUCUGGGUAAGAGCGUCUGCUAAAUGACUAAAA
This is a non-coding RNA of Salmo salar (Atlantic salmon), 53 nucleotides long. Lineage: Eukaryota; Metazoa; Chordata; Actinopteri; Salmoniformes; Salmonidae. The record is from Rfam.